Molecule: transfer RNA, 236 nt
Filed under: Pneumocystis jirovecii
Lineage: Eukaryota; Fungi; Ascomycota; Pneumocystomycetes; Pneumocystales; Pneumocystaceae
Description: tRNA-Pseudo(TAA)
Source: RNAcentral
UUUUAUUAAAUAUAAGGAAUAUAAUAAUUUUAAAAAAUAAAUUUUAUAUUAUAAUUUAAGAAAUUAUAAAUUACUAGAAUAGUAAAUUUUAUUGAUAUUCAAAGAUUAAAAUAUAUAUAAUUAAAAUUUAAUUUACUUUCCAUUUAACUAUAUAUAUUCUAUAAAUCUAAUUUUUUUAUGUUUAUAACUCUAUCAUUUCUCUUAAAUUAAUAUAUAAAUCAAAUCUAUAAUAAUUU